RNAcentral lists this ribosomal RNA (468 nucleotides) under uncultured bacterium. Its description in RNAcentral is "partial 16S ribosomal RNA". It matches the Rfam family "Bacterial small subunit ribosomal RNA", at positions 28 to 507 of the family's 1533-position model. The record is from RNAcentral.
GACGAACGCUGGCGGCGUGCUUAACACAUGCAAGUCGAACGGAAAGGCCCUGCUUUUGUGGGGUGCUCGGGUGGCGAACGGGUGAGUAACACGUGAGUAACCUGCCCUUGACUUUGGGAUAACUUCAGGAAACUGGGGCUAAUACCGGAUAGGAGCUCCUGAUGCAUGGUGGGGGUUGGAAAGUUUCGGCGGUUGGGGAUGGACUCGCGGCUUAUCAGCUUGUUGGUGGGGUAGUGGCUUACCAAGGCUUUGACGGGUAGCAGGCCUGAGAGGGUGACCGGCCACAUUGGGACUGAGAUACGGCCCAGACUCCUACGUGAGGCAGCAGUCGGAAAUAUUGCACAAUGGGCGGAAGCCUGAUGCAGCAACGCCGCGUGCGGGAUGACGGCCUUCGGGUUGUAAACCGCUUUCGCCUGUGACGAAGCGUGAGUGACGGUAAUGGGUAAAGAAGCACCGGCUAACUACGUG